Non-coding RNA from Mycena latifolia, 93 nucleotides. Lineage: Eukaryota; Fungi; Basidiomycota; Agaricomycetes; Agaricales; Mycenaceae. The record is from the annotation of a GenBank genome assembly.
GACCUAGUGGCAGGAGGCGCCGCACCUGCAUGGAGUGCAGAAUAUACGUUGAAGCGCAGCAGACGGUCCCUGGUUCGAAUCCAGGCUAGGUCC